Long non-coding RNA from Bombyx mori (domestic silkworm), 3334 nucleotides. RefSeq lists it as uncharacterized. The record is from RefSeq and is a predicted model, not a curated record. NCBI's taxonomy places the organism in Eukaryota, Metazoa, Arthropoda, Insecta, Lepidoptera, Bombycidae. The transcript has 2 exons.
GGCUAGUGUUAGCAACACACCCGGUUUGAGCCCCAUGAGCUCACCUACACGUCAAGAAGCUGAAAUAGCCUCUCAAGGCAUAGGUAGGGAAAAAAAAGCACAAUCAUUGUCGGUCCCCCAAAACUUUAAUCCGACUAAUAAACCAGUUGUAAGUACAGUCCACUUUUAUUCAGAUAAGCUUUUCAACCAACAUCUCAUCGCAAUGGCGCCAACAAACACAAAGCCAUAAUAUUCAAAAUCUUAACUCACCUCCUUGUGCGGCGCUUCGAACAGAACUAAAUCGAAAAAAAAAACAUUAUACCUCGAAAACAAGAUAAUGUAUGUAGUUCUGGGAUUAUCACUAUUAUGACAUACAAUUAGGGUGACUACAUUUUUUUAUUAAAUUAUCGGACAGCAGUCAGAAUCCGUCGUGAUAUCUUUAAGAAAAACUUUCCUUAUUGAAACUACCGUCACGCCAUCACUGACGGUUUGAUAUUUUUUUUAUUAUUUAAUUGUGUGGAUGAACUCACGGCUCACCUGGUGUUGCCGUCUAUUUUUUGUAUAAGCAUAUCUAAUUUUUAGACGCAUUCCUUUGCGCACGAAAACAAUUAACUGUAUCUUGAGGUGUGGCAGUGCGACUUGAAUUUGUGUCUUCACGCUAACCGGACACAGGUAUUAUAAAGGAAAUAAGAUAAACUUUUUAAUAUAGUGACGAUAAAAACCGUAAAAUUAUUUUAAUUAUUUCUACGACUAGCAAAAUACCGAAGCAAAAAACAAUUUCAAUAAAUAAUUACGGUGGCCCUAUUCAGAUAAACGUUGUUAUGUUAAAGACUAAGGUUAUCGUCGCUCGCAUCAAAUGUUUAUCUGUACAGCACGAUAGUAAUAGUAAAAUAUUUAUGAAUACUUUCUUGUACGUAUUUAAAUAUUAUAAAUUUAGUUUCGUUCGAGUCGUAAGCAUGAUUAAAGCAACUUUUACGGAUUAAUUCAAUUAAACAGUCGCCCGCCAACGCGAAAUAUCGUAAAAGUUAUUUUAAUUAUUUAAGUAUACUCGGAUAUUAUAAGCAUUACACCAUACAUGCUAAUUUUCAACUUAAAAUUAAAAAUAUCAACUCCUGAUCAUUUUUUUAAAAUCACUUAAAAUAUUUAUACCUUCGCGUUAUUAUAUUCAAAUAAAUUACAUGUAAAUAUUUUUUAUUCCCUACCUAAUCCACUAACGGUGCGUUUAGGUACCCCAAGCACCGGUCAUCGCUCAGGCAGGGCUCGACGAGUAAAUUAACCCACAGACACAGCCCACUGAGUUUCUUACAGGAUCUUCUCAGUGGAUCCCGUUUCCGAUCCCGUGGUAGACUUCCAAGCUGCUCUUGCUAGUGUUAGCAAAUUCUCUCACGUUAAGCGCGUGAGCUCACUUACUCGCCCGGUAAAUCUAGUAUGACCUCUCGAGGUUACUACAAUAGGUAGGAAAAAAAGGGGACACCGAGAAAAUCAGUGGGCCUUGGAAACUCAGUCUUCGUGCUAGUUCGUAGGUCGAACGAUUGACGAGUUUGACGAGAACGACAUACGUUUGACGAGACAUAUUUAUGACAAGUUGACUUAAGGAUGUAACUAUGUUAGCGCGCCGCUGAGAGAAAAAGAUUGAGAAUCGCUGGCUUAGACGCACACAUGACAAACACGUAUGUAUAUACAAAAAUUGAUAUUAACAAAAUGCACUUUUACUUCGUGUAGGUACUUUAUAUCUUGGUGAUAAGCACGAAGAUCCCUUUAAUAAAGAUACUGCUAUCUAUACUAAUAUUAUAAAGAGGAAAGAUUUAAUUGUUUGUUUGGAUUGAAUAGGCUCACUGUUGGGAAGCUACACUUAUUCACGGAUGACAUAAGCAUUAAUAUAUUUUCAAAAAACUUAGGGAUCCUUACUAAAAUUCCAAUAAUGUAACCCAAGGUGUAAAAAUAAAAAAUACCUAACUUAUUCUUUACAUCACACCCCUUUACAAUAGGUGUCGCAACAGGAAAUAUCUAACUAUUAUACUUAUACAUAAUACAUAAAAAGUUUUCUUUUCUUUAAAAAAAGAAAAACCACAUCAAAUAUCAUUUACAAAAAAUUUGAAAGAAAAAAUCAUUAAAUCCUUAUUUAAAAAAAACAAUAAAAAAUCUUUAUUUAUAACUAUUUUUUUUUAGUAACCUGACGAAAAUAUUUGAGCUUAGGUGUGUGUACUAAAGUUAUUUACAAUUUUUUUUACAUUUUUUAGCGCGUAACAAUAUAUUAACAUUGACAUUUACUUUAAAGUACACUGACGCGUCGGUAGCGCUCGCGGCGUGAACGUUGGCGGCGGACGGGCGAUGUAUAAAAUCGCGCCUGUCUUUGGUUACAGAGCGUUUGCCGAUAUGAAGUUUCGCAUUAGUCGAAAGCGGUUGUUGGGUUAACAGAAACUUCCGUAACAAUGGCGCGUAACAAUAGGUUCAAUAAAACUAAUAUUUUGAAAUUAUUGUUAAAUACCCGAACGAAGCCGGGCGGACCGCUAGUAACUUAUAUAACUGUUAUUAAAAUGACGUUUGUCUUAAUAAAUUCUGGAUGCUAUGUUUAUUAAUUUACGACAAAUUGUUAUUGUUUGUGUAUCUAAUCGAAUAAUUUAUUUAGAUAACAAUAGUGCGGCGUUCUGGCGUGGAUGUUUUUUUUAUUUUUAUUGCCGUAUAGGCAUCGAGCGUACGGCCCACCUGAUGGUGAGUGGUUACCGCCGCUCAUGGACGUCAGCAAUGCCAGGGGCAGAGCCAAGCCGCUGCCUACCGUUUAAUACUCUCCACAAGCCUCGUUUGAAGAAGGACAUGUCAUAGCGCUCGGGAAACACCGUGGAGGGGAGCUCAUUCCAUAGCCGGAUGGUACGUGGCAAAAAAGAUCUCUGGAAACGCACUGUGGAUGAACGUAGUGGCUCCAGGUAGUAUGAAUGAACUCUACUCCGAUGGCGGGCGGUGCGAUGGUAAAAACGAGAUGUCGGUCUAUGAUCUCGAACAAUUCCUCAGAGAAAUUUUUGUUUACGCUUUCUGUAUUAUCUGUGGAUGUUUUUAAAUAAUUUUUCUACUUACAGGUGUGUUGCGUUGCAAUGCGAGACUCUGAAUGGUUAACUCGCGUAUUUGUUGUUGACUUUUCUUUAUAAUAAAGUCACUCCUAUCACAAAGUUCAAGGGCGACUAAUUUUUGCAAAACAAUAGUUAUCCUCAAACUUCAUGAUUGGUUGAUUUUACUUUAGGUACCUACAUUACGAAUUCCAGCUGUUGUCGCCGUAAAAUUUUAAUACUUUACGAUCAGAUAAUUAAAAAAAAAAUGCAGUUAAGAAUACACACAAGACAAACGCCUAAUGCCUAUAAAA